ACCACAACGAGGCUACAACAACAAGGGCAACAAAAGGGGGAUAAAAUGGUCUCCAGGAGCGGUGGAUUCAUGGUACAGGCACCGAGCCCAGCAAUAACCCUGGAGGAAAAAAUAUAUAUAUAUCCAUGUGUAAGGUGCUGGCACCAGCACAAAGAGAUGACUGUGUAUCAUGCAUGAAACAUGACUUUCAACCAGGGGCGACUCUGCCCUAAGGGCACAGGUACUGUCUCAGGAGCCAUUUGGGGCUGUCACAUGUGGGGUAGGAGGUCCUGUCAUCCUGUGGAGAGGCUCCAGGAAUGCUAAGUGCCCAGCACAGCCCACAGAACAAAAAACGAGGCAGUGCUGGAAGCAGCAGUAUCACUAUUGCUGUCUGAGGUUAAGCAGCCCUGGCCUGCCAUACAGACCACACACAGUCUGCUCACUGGUGUCCAGGCCCACUGGUUAAAAGGGACCCCAAGCCAGUGAAACAGCUCACUUGGAUAGUGUGCUGCCUUACUCUGUGAGUGACCCAGGUUCGAGCCUAGCUCCUACUGCAUUAAAGGAAGUUUCAGUGUUGUUGUCUCUUUCCCUCUCUCUAUGCUUCUUUGCCUUCUCUGUCUUUAUCAAGAAAAGUUUUAAUUACAAAAAUGUAACAGCAGGGGCCAGGCAGUGGCACAUCUGGUUAGGUGAACACAUUACCAUGUGCAAGGACAUGAGUUCGAGCCCUGGCUCCCCAUCUUUGGGGGGGGGGGAGUUUUACACGUGUUGAAGUAAAACAUCUGUCUCUCCCUCUUAAUUUCUCUGUCCUAUCAAAUAAAGAAAAAAAAAAUGAAUGAAAAAGAGGGGGCAGGCAGUGGGACAUCUGGUUAAGAGCACACAUUACAGUAUAGAAGGGCCCAGGUUCAAGUCCCUGGACCUCACUUGCAGGGGGAAAGCUUCAUGAGUGGUGAAGUAGGGCUGCAGUUAGCUAUCUCUCUCCUCUUGAUUUCUCUCUGUCCUAUCCAACAACAACAGCUAUAACAACAGUAACUACAACAAGGGUAACAAAAUGGGAAAAAUAGCCUCCAGGAGCAGUCGAUUCGUUAUGCUGCCCCAGCAAUAACCUUGGAGGCAAAAAAAAGAAGUUUAGGGUCCCUCUGGUGGCACAUCUGGUUGAGCAAUGCUGAAGGGCCCAGGUUCAAGUCCUUGGUCCCCACCUACAGGAGGAAAGCUUCACAAAUGGUGAAGCAGUGCUGCAGGUGUCUCUCUUUCUCUCUGUUAGCCCCUUCCCUCUCGAUUUCUGGCUACCUCUAACCAGUAAAUAAAUAAAGAUGAUAAAAAAAUUAAAGCCAAAAAGAGAAAUUCAUGGGGGCUGAGAGGUGGUGCAGCAGGUUAAGCACACAUGGUGCAAAGCGCUCAAGGACUAGAGUAAGGAUUCAGGUUCAAGCCCCCAGCUCCCAACCUGCCAUUCCUAUCUUUCUCUUCCCUUCUGUCUUCCCCUCCUCUCAAUUUCUCUCUGUCCUGUCCAACAACAACAACAGCAAUGACAACAACAAUAAUAACAGCAAAGGCAAGGGCAGCAAAAUGGGGAGAAAAAAAGGCCUCCAGGAGCAGUGGAUUUGUAGUGCAGAUACUAAGCCCCAGCAGUAACCCUGGAGGCAGAAAUAAGUAAAUAAAAAGAGAAAUUCAUAUUAUCAGAAUGUUCAGCUUGAACCUAGGUCCAGAUUAGAAAGAAAACUUGGGUGGGGGAGAUAGCAUAAAGGUUAUACAAACAGACUCUCUCACCUGAGGAUCUGAGGUCCCAGGUUCAUUCCUCCACACCACUGUAAGCCAGAGCUGAGCAGUACUCUGGUUAAAAAAAAAAAAAAAAAAAAGAAGGGGAGGGAGAAGGGGUUGGAGGGGUUGGGUAGUAGUGCACCAGUGUUUGAGGACCUGGGUUCACAACACGGUUCCCACUUAGAAAAGGGAAAGCUUCACAAGUGGUGAAUUGGUGCUACAAGUGUCUGUGUCUCUCCUCCCUUCUCUGUCUUCCCACUCCCCUCUUGAUCUCUCUCAAUCCAAUAAAUAAAUAAAUGAAAGGAAAAGAAAG
Long non-coding RNA from Erinaceus europaeus (western European hedgehog), 2047 nucleotides. RefSeq lists it as uncharacterized. Lineage: Eukaryota; Metazoa; Chordata; Mammalia; Eulipotyphla; Erinaceidae. The transcript is spliced from 2 exons. The record is from RefSeq and is a predicted model, not a curated record.